AUGCCAAUGGCACGGCUGGGUAGCCAAGACGGGGAGGGAUAAACGCUGAAGGCAUCUAAGCGUGAAGCCCCCCUCAAGAUGAGAUCUCCUAGCAGAAAUGUGAGAGACCCCUUAGAGACAAUGAGGUAGAUAGGGCAGGGGUGGAAGUGCAGCGAUGCAUGGAGCUGACUGCUACUAAUCGGUCGAAAGCUUGACCUAA
RNAcentral lists this ribosomal RNA (199 nucleotides) under Eubacterium sp. An3. RNAcentral's name for it is "partial 23S ribosomal RNA". It matches the Rfam family "Bacterial large subunit ribosomal RNA", at positions 2726 to 2925 of the family's 2925-position model. Lineage: Bacteria; Bacillati; Bacillota; Clostridia; Eubacteriales; Eubacteriaceae. The record is from RNAcentral.